UCGGCUUAGAGUUUGAUCAUGGCUCACAUUGAACGCUGGCGGCAGGCUUAACACAUGCAAGUCGAACGGUAAAGUAGCUUGCUACUUACGAGUGGCGGACGGGUGAGUAACGUAUGGGGAUUUACCGAAUGGAGGGGGACAACAGUUGGAAACGGCUGCUAAUACCGCAUAACGUCCAGAGACCAAAGGGUUUCGACUUGCCAUUUGAUGAGCCCAUAUGAGAUUAGCUAGUUGGUGUGGUAAUGGCUCACCAAGGCGACGAUCUCUAGCUGGUUUGAGAGGAUGACCAGCCACACUGGGACUGAGACACGGCCCACACUCCUACGGGAGGCAGCAGUGGGGAAUAUUGCACAAUGGGGGGAACCCUGAUGCAGCCAUGCCGCGUGUAUGAAGAAGGCCUUAAGGUUGUAAAGUACUUUCGUGGAGGAGGAAGGGUUUACGUAAUCGUGGACAUUGACGUUA
Molecule: ribosomal RNA, 462 nt
Filed under: uncultured Enterobacteriaceae bacterium
Lineage: Bacteria; Pseudomonadati; Pseudomonadota; Gammaproteobacteria; Enterobacterales; Enterobacteriaceae
Description: bacterial SSU rRNA
Rfam family: Bacterial small subunit ribosomal RNA
Source: RNAcentral